Molecule: non-coding RNA, 54 nt
Organism: Salmo salar (Atlantic salmon)
Lineage: Eukaryota; Metazoa; Chordata; Actinopteri; Salmoniformes; Salmonidae
Source: Rfam
UGCACUCACUACUGUAAGUCGCUCUGGAUAAGAGCAUCUGCUAAAUGAGUAACA